GCAUUAAUGGGGUAGUGGUAACCUGGGUCGUUGCCAUUCCGUUUCGACCCGCCGGGAGUUCGAUUCUCUCUUAAUGCA
Crassisporium funariophilum is the source of this 78-nucleotide non-coding RNA. The record is from the annotation of a GenBank genome assembly. Lineage: Eukaryota; Fungi; Basidiomycota; Agaricomycetes; Agaricales; Crassisporiaceae.